Molecule: unclassified non-coding RNA, 353 nt
Filed under: soil metagenome
Description: partial contains 5.8S ribosomal RNA, internal transcribed spacer 2, and large subunit ribosomal RNA
Rfam family: 5.8S ribosomal RNA (bases 1-120)
Source: RNAcentral
GAUGAAGAACGCAGCGAAAUGCGAUAAGUAAUGUGAAUUGCAGAAUUCAGUGAAUCAUCGAAUCUUUGAACGCACAUUGCGCCCGCCAGUAUUCUGGCGGGCAUACCUGUUCGAGCGUCAUUACAACCCUCAGGCCCCCGGGCCUGGCGUUGGGGAUCGGCGGAAGCCCCCUGCGGGCACAACGCCGUCCCCCAAAUACAGUGGCGGUCCCGCCGCAGCUUCCAUUGCGUAGUAGCUAACACCUCGCAACUGGAGAGCGGCGCGGCCACGCCGUAAAACACCCAACUUCUGAAUGUUGACCUCGAAUCAGGUAGGAAUACCCGCUGAACUUAAGCAUAUCAAUAAGCGGAGGA